This is a long non-coding RNA of Cucumis melo (muskmelon), 3242 nucleotides long. RefSeq lists it as uncharacterized. The record is from RefSeq and is a predicted model, not a curated record. Lineage: Eukaryota; Viridiplantae; Streptophyta; Magnoliopsida; Cucurbitales; Cucurbitaceae. The transcript is spliced from 3 exons.
CCAUCUACUUUCUUUUCUUCUUCCUUUGCUAGGGCACAACAACAACAUUGCAGCAUCCCAAAUUCCGUGAUCCUUCCUCUUCUCCUUCUAAACCUCUCCCCUUUGCCGAUUCAAGCUCUCCCUUGCCGGUUUUCCUCUCCAAAAAUCGUCAGCAACAAUGGAGGAACGGAUGUUUUGGUUGGUUUCGUUACUCUUUUCUCUCUCUUUUUAGUUUUUUUGUGAGGAGAGGAGAAGACAACACUCUUUUCUCUCUUUCUCUCUCGUUCCCUCUCUAGAAAACCCACUUACACAAUCCUCCAUCAAUUCUAUAUACAUAAACUUUUCGUUUUCUUUCUCUGUUUUUCCCCUUUUUGUUUUUGUGUUUUUUCGAAGGAAAUUGGAUGGUGGGUUUUUGAUUUGAUCCAAAUUGCUACUCUCCAAUUUCUCUUUUGUGUUGGAAAUGGGGAUUGGGUAGUGGGUUUUGAUGGGAUGAGUUCUUCGCGGACGAUGGGACGGUGAGUUUAGAACUAUGUUCCUCUGUAGAUUGCACCAUCCUUGCACGAAGGUUCUUUUGCUAAUUUCGGUAUUGUUUAUUUGUUUCCCUUCCGUAGAUUGCAAUUUCUUAUUUAUUUUUAUUUUUUAUGUGAGCUUUUGUGUUGUGUGUUCGAGCAUUUCGAUGUCCAAAUGCUCUCUCUAAUUGUUUUUAUGUAAAUUCUAAAGUUGCUCAUGUCUUCUCUUGAAUUUCUAUUUCAAAAUGUGUUGUUUGGUUAUAUUUUGCUAAUUUUUUGUUCAUGUUAGUUGUGUUUCUAAUUAUUCUAAGGAAUAUAUGAUUUUAAUUUGAAUGUUCUCAUUGCUGUAUUAUCGCUUAGUCUGACGUUUUUGGCUUAAAAUGUAGAAGAUGUUAUAACUUUUAAUUUCAGCCACCGAGUGAUAAAGUACAUGUAAAUUAAGCUAAUUUUCCAUUCUUCUAGUGUUUUCUAUAUUGGUUUACAAACAGGAGGAAAUCAGGAACCAACUUGGAAGGAUCAAUGGAUUAAAGCACUACCCCGCUUGAGGAUAUUUCAUCUCUCGAUCUCAAAACGUAUCCUUAAUCUUUUUCUUUUUCUUUUUCUGGAAAAUUGCAGUGUGCGUUGUUUGAUAUUUUCAUGUAUGGCUUAAAGGCUGGUUGCAUUCUCAGUUUGAGAUUUCUAGGCAUUCUUAGUUGGACUUGUUUGUUCAACAUGUUUGAGAUUUCUAUUGGCAUAUUUUGUUGGACUUGUUUAGACGGCUGAGAUUUCUGGGCACAUUUAGUUGCACUUGUUUAUUCGAUUCUUUGUUUUUCUCAACCAUUCACAAAAGGUUAAUCUGACAAAAUAUGGGUAUUUCUACUUCUAGGGGAUUAAAUCGUUUAGGAUGAAGUACAGCUGAUUCUGUUUUGUCGGGUGAUAUUGAAUGAUGAUUGAAUAAGCUGCUUAAUAUAUUUCUUAAACUAGUGGCUUUGCAGAAGUUUAUAUGGGAAUACUCUUAAGGUACAUUUGGUUUGAAAUUAUUUCUCAGAACAUUGUUUUGAAAAUUAACCCAGGCCUUCCGUGUGGUCUUCUUGCAAACAACAAAAAUUUCCCAAAUAUAAGGGAUGCUCAUCAUUCUUCCUAAAUAUAUAUUUUUCUCUAAUUUUAGGUUCAUGCCAUAUUGAAGGAUCUGGUUCACAAAGCGAUAGGUGAAACUCUAGUAUGCUCUUGAACCUUGCAUAUGAUACACUUAAAUUAAAACCAUGCUCCAUAUUUUUUUUAAGUUUGAAAUAGCUCACUGCAAUUCUUGAGGUGGUCUACAACUUAAAACAGUUCUGUAUAGAAUUUGAUUCAUUUACUUAAUUUGUCUUCAAAUAUCCAUUAAUGAGAGGUGCUUUCUCUUUUCAUCCUUGUUUGCUCAUGGAAGAAACAGUCAAUCGAUGUUUAAUUAACUUUUUAUAAUAACAUCGAUUAGUUUGGUUAGAUUGACUUCGGAGUUAUAGUUGUUCAAAUAUGUUUUGAGUUAUAGUUUGGUUAGAUUGACUUCGGAGUUAUAGUUAGUUCCGGCUAUUAGAAACAUAGUCAGCGUCUCAUCAUUUUUCUUUGAGGGAUAGGAUAGCUUUUUCUCUGAUUUCUCUUUAUUUUAUAAAUUCACUAAUACUAAGACGAUCAUGUUUUUUUCUGAUAUGAAAGAUUGUAAUGGUAACGGUGCUUAUAAGAGAUGAUCAAUAUGUAUAUGAUUCUAUCUUCUUUCAGCUUGACUUUGCGAGAAUGAAUUUGAAUUUAUGGAAUAGUUAUGCUCAUUUGAGCUUCUCUCUAAGAAUAUCAGUGUUAAAUUAUUGUAUGUUAUAAUGAUUACGACGUAUAACAUUGCCCUAAAUUUAUCUUAUUGGGUUUUAGCAUUUUAGUUGAAUUUAAUUAGGUUUUUGGAUUCAUGGGUUUGGAUAGAAUGUUUCUUGGGGUAAUGGGACAUUCGGAUCUUUGAGUAGAUUUGGGUUGCUAUUAUUUGGAAGUUGAUUAAUAAUGUUUUAAGAUUAGGAAAUGAAAUAUUAAACCGAGCACUAAUUGUGGUAAAGAACAUGGAACUGAACUCGAUGGUGAUCCAAUCUGAAGGAGAAAAGUCAACUAGUGUUUGUAUUUAUCUUGGUUGAAAAUUCUUCUUGUUUCGGAUGCGAAUGCUCAACUUGAAAUCUGAUUUGCAGGGUGAACUGGGGAGUUGGAGUUUCAAUUGAUUUAAUUUUGCUUCCAUGUGGUGGAAUGUUAUGGAUCAAAUAUUUUUUUGUUUGCUUCAUUUGCUUUCUUCAUUUGCUUCUCAUUUUUUUCAUUUUCCGAUCUUGGUUUAUUAUUUUUGGAUUUUAUUAAGUGGGGUUUCACUUGUUUCUUGGUUGCUUUCUUCAAAUUACCUUGAUAAAUUCACUGCAUCUCUAUUAUCAUCGGCUUGUUCUUCAUUGACAUUUUACAGGAAAUGAGAUUACUGAAAUAAAACGGGUUUGCUUCAACUAGCAGAGUCUUUAAACUUUCUUCAUAGCAAUGCAUGUUUCAUUCACUGUGCUAUAUCUCCGGAGGUUUUUCCAGAAUCCAUUGGAGUAGCGAAACAAUAUUUGCGGCAAUUCAUUGAUGUAUAGGCAUUAUUGUAGGUUUGGUAGGAAAAUUUCUGGUUUAAAUGUAGUUAUUUAAAUAGCUUAUUUGUAACAAACCAUAUCUGUACCAACACUUAAAGCGAUAUUAUAAAAUGUAUGUUUCUUUAUAUUAAAGCGUUCACCGUUUCUUUUAAUA